Molecule: RNA transcript, 2535 nt
Organism: Alnus glutinosa
Lineage: Eukaryota; Viridiplantae; Streptophyta; Magnoliopsida; Fagales; Betulaceae
Gene name: zinc finger BED domain-containing protein RICESLEEPER 1-like
Exons: 4
Source: RefSeq, a predicted model, not a curated record
AAAAGAAACGUUCCAUCAUCAGCCAUUUCAUAUCGCCGCCAAAUCCCUUAUUUUCUGAAAUUUCUGUGAAUAUUUUAUUCUUCUCACACGCUAUGAUGGCAAGAACAAAGAAAAAAGCAGAGUUUAUAUGUCAAACUUUUCAUCCUCUCUUGAUUCCGGAAGAAGGGCUCAAGCUUUUUAUCCUCUUCAACUUCAACUUCAAACAAGCCAGAGAAGUUAUUUCCAUCUGCAAUCUACAAACACGCAUCGGCAUAGAGCACACUGAGCAGCAUGGAGGGGGAUUUGAACAACACUGAUCCGGUAGAGUGGUAUGAAAAUGAAAAUUCUCUAGAAAAUGAAAUUAGCAAUGCUGGUAGUGUUAGUUCCACAAAAAAUAUUGAGGAUCAAGAUAUCGAUUCUAUUGAUGUUCAAACUGAAGGAGAUUCUUUAAAGCAUGCUUAUCAAAGAAAGCCAAGGAGGAAGACUUCUAUAGUUUGGAAAAAUUUUACUGAGGUGGAAAUAAAAGGUGUGAAAAAACAUCAAUGCAAUUGGUGUAAGAGGGCAUUCACUAUAUCAAAAUCAAGUUGUACUAGUACGAUGUGUAGACAUUUGAAAACUUGUUUAUCGUACAUUGGUGCCAAUAAGAAAAAAAAGCAAAAGGUUUUGUCUCUUGAAGCUACGGAGGUUGAUGGUGUAGGGAGCGUAACAAAUUUUAUUUAUGAUGAAAAGAAGGCAAGAGAAGUUUGUUCUCAUAUGAUUUUAUAUCAUGAAUACCCUUUUAAUAUUGUGGAACAUCGAUUUUUUAACAAGUUUGCCAAGACUUUGUCUCCACAUUGGGUAAAAAUAUCUCGGGCUACAGCAAAGAAGGAUUGCUUUGCCACUUAUGAGAUUGAGAAAAGAAAAUUGAAAAGUAUGUUAACACGUGUGCACAAAGUUAACAUAACGACUGAUAUGUGGACGUCGAGUCAGCAAAUUUCUUAUAUGGUUGUCACAUGUCACUUCAUUGAUUCUGAUUGGCAUCUAAAUAGGCGUGUGUUGAACUUUUGUAAUGUGCCACCACCACACACCGGUUUUCUUAUUGCUGAUGCACUACAAAAAUGUUUUCAAGAAUGGGGGAUUGAGAAUAAGAUUUGUUCAAUUACUGUUGAUAAUGCAAGAUCAAAUGACGUAGCAGUUAGAGUAUUGAAAGAUGUUUUUAACAUGAGAAAAGCCCUUCUUGCUGGUGGAAAAUUAUUUCAUGUUCGAUGUGUUGCACAUAUAACCAAUUUAUUGGUUCAAGAUGGUCUAGGUGAGAUUUCUUCGAUUGUUGAUUGUGUUAGGAAUGGAAUAAAAUACUUGGUGGCAUCAGAGGGAAGGUUGGUAAAAUUCAGUGAAAUUGCCAAGCAAUUGCAAUUGACCUCUAAGAAAUUAUUUUUGGAUGUAGCUACACGGUGGAAUAGUACAUAUAUGAUGUUGGCAGCAGCACUUGAGUUCAAGGGGGUCUUUCCAAUGUAUUCAUACAUUGAUUCUGGUUUCAUUUGGUUGCCAUCAGAUGAGGAUUAGGAUAAAGUUGAAAAUGUAUGUCAGUUAUUAGGGGUCUUCAACCAAGUAACUAAUAUUGUCUCAGGGAGUGACUACCCUACUGCUAAUUUAUUCCUCCCUGAAGUCUGGAGGAUGAAAGAGGUCUUGGCUACAAAGUGCAAAGAUGAGAAUGAGUAUAUUAAAGCAAUGGCAUAUAAAAUGAGUACCAAGUUUCAGAAAUAUUGGGGAGAGUGCAACUUAUUGAUGUCUAUUGCUGCUGUGUUGGACCCAAGGAAUAAGAUGACGAUGAUACGAUUUUGUUUCCCUAUAAUCUAUCAAGAGUUGGAAGCUACUGCGAAUGUUGAUCGUAUCCUUUCAGUUCUGAAUGAGUUAUAUGUUGAGUAUGUCCAAGAAUAUAAUUCAAGUGUUGCUGAGCAGAAUUUACAAAUCAAUGCUAUUGAAUCCUUUUCAAGCAGUUCAAUUAACGUGGUUGGGAAGAAGAAUGUUCUAACAAGUGGUAGGGACCUUUAUGACUCAUUCGUCAGAAAUGUUGAUACAUUGCAGCAGCCGAUAAAAUCUGAUUUACAAUCCUAUUUGGAGGAGAAUGUUCUCAUUGUUGAAAAGGGUGUGGAAUUUAAUGCUUUGGAUUGGUGGAAGGCAAAUACCCUUAAGUAUCGGAUUUUGUCUAUAAUGGCAAGGGAUAUAUUGUCAAUACCAAUCACCACUGUGACUUCAGAGUCUACAUUUAGUGCCGGUGGGAGGGUCAUUGAUCCUCACAGAUCUAAGUUAUCUACAGAAACUGUACAAAUGUUAUUGUGUGGGGCUGAUUGGGUCAGAGCAUUACAUGGGAUUAAAAGGAAGCACAAUGUGGAGGAGGAUGAGGAGGAGGAGAAAGUGGAGAUUGUCUUACCAGCAAUUCUGUAGCAGUUUGCUUUCUUUGUUUUUUGCUAUAUAAGUGACUAAGUGUUGUAAUAUAAUUGCAUAUUUUAGUUGUGACACUUGUGGGAUUCUACUUUUUUUGAAGUCAUGAAGAGUUGAAGACAUGAAGACUUUAGA